GAAAUACUCCCUCCGUCCCAAAAUUCUUGUCUUAGAUUUGUCUAAGUACGGAUGUAUCAAGUCACGUUUUAGUAUUAGAUACAUCCGUAUCUAGACGGAUCUAAGACAAGAAUUUUGGGACGGAGGGAGUAGCUG
Triticum aestivum (bread wheat) is the source of this 135-nucleotide non-coding RNA. Lineage: Eukaryota; Viridiplantae; Streptophyta; Magnoliopsida; Poales; Poaceae. The record is from Rfam.